UCCAGCUGCAUCCAUGUUGCUGCAAAGGACCUGAUUUUGUUCUUUUGUAUUACCCACUGUUCCCAGAUGUGGGAACUGAGGCUCACAGCGGUUAUCUCAGCAGGUUUAUGAGCCAGAGUUGUCCCACCCAGGAGAGUUUUGGAAGUGAGAGGAGCAACCAGCAAGAGAGGCCGGCUGCCUGGCUGACAGCCUCAUCUAUGCACAGGGAAGAUCCUCCUGAGCUCUGCAAGUGUCCAAACUUAGAAUGGGCAACCAAGGCUGACUGUGAACAUUUCCUUCCUGGUUGGGCUUUAGGAAGAGAAGCGAAAUUUGCCUAUUACCUCUACACACCUCCUGAGACCAGGAGAAUCCUGGGUGACACCAGGCAUUCAAGGAUUUCAUGAUACAGUCUCUCCCUCCCUAAUGCACCUUUCAGCGUUGCUACUGGGACAGCAUUUCCUGUGCCUUUUUAAAUUUAAUCCUCUUCACAGCCCUCUCAAGAGGCAGCGCGGCUCUGUGAUCAGGAGCAUGAAUGCUAAAGCCAGACUACCUGGGUUCUCAACUUAGCCGUGCCGUUUUGAAGCUGUGUGACCUUGGGCAGGUUUCCCAGCUGUAGCCAGCUCAUGGAGUUGAAAUGAGAAUUAAGUCAAUGUUGGGAAAACACUUAGGACAAGGCCUGGAACACAAAUUGUAGCUGUUACUAGUAUGAUCAUUAAUAGUAGUAUGUCCUUUUUCAACAUUUGAGUAAACAGAGGCUCAGAGAGGUGAAGACACUUCCUUAAGGCCACACAGAUCAGGGAUUUAAGCCAUAGCACCAGACCUGGGAGCCAAGCUAAUAUUCCCUCUCCAACACAGCCCCUUCAAGUCCCAGGCUGGAAGUGAGCUGCCCUUCUUAGCAGUGAAACACCUAGAAAAUUGGCUGACAAUUUAUCGAGGGCGUCUUCAACAAGUGUGUCAUUUUGGAUACACUGUGGGCUAACUAUUGGUGCAGAGAGUGGGCUGAGGGGUCAGCUUCUUCAGCAUCUGGCUUCAUCCAUCUCUGGGUCAUUGAUGGCUUCUGUCAAGAUGGCCAAAGAAGACCACGAGAGUCAGGCUAGGCCUCCUCCUCUGCAUAUUAAUUACAGCCAAGGCAAAAUGUGGCCACAGCAGCAGUUAGGGGACAACAGGACCCUGCAAGUCCUCAAGCAGUCAGGCAGAGGACACCUUGGGCACCCCGCCCUCUGCCCAGCACAAUCUUCCGUGGCACUGCCGAGGACCUCAGCAAGAUGCAGACCUCCAGGGAUGUCAGCCUGUCUCCUCCUCUAGGUCUGUCCUCUUUCUGUCCCUCUGUUUGUCCCUCUCCCCUCUCUCAACCACCUCUCCAUCAUUCUGCAAUCAACAUCCUGCCCAUGGUCAGGGAUAUCUAAAAAGCUAUCCAGGCUGGGCGUGGUGGCUCAUGCCUAUAAUCCCAGCAUUUUGGGAGGCCAAGGCAGGCAGAUGACUUGAGGUCAGGAGUUUGAGACCAGCCUGGACAACAUGGCGAAACCUCGUCUCUAAUAAAGCUACAAAAAUUAUCCAGGCAUGGCGGCAGCACCUGUAAUCCCAGAUACUCGGGAGGCUGAGGUGGGUGAAUCGCUUGAACCCAGGAGGAAGAGGUUGCAGUGAGCCAAGAUCGUGCCACUGCACUCCAGCCUGGGUGACAGAGCAACACUCUGUGUCAAAAUAAAUAAAUAAAUAAAAAGCUAUUCAUCUUCUGAAGAAUGGAGGUGGUCAGAUUUUGUCUUAUUUUCUGAAACAUACUUCAAUAUUUUCCUAAUACAAAUAUGUGUCAGAUAUAAAAAAUUCCAAUA
This 1808-nucleotide long non-coding RNA is filed under the name Homo sapiens (human). RNAcentral's name for it is "HSALNT0228265". Lineage: Eukaryota; Metazoa; Chordata; Mammalia; Primates; Hominidae. The record is from RNAcentral.